UCCUGGAAAAAUGCUGUCCAAGAGGAGCCCAAUGCUAGUUUAUCUGAACAACAUGAUCUUCCAUGUUAUGAAAGAUGGAAAUUCAGUGAUGAAAGUAAACUUGGAAGGGCAAGCCCCAAGGCUUCACUAUGUUCAUCCUACAUGCUUUGAGGCUGGGAAGCCCAUAGAGUUUGUUGCUUGUGGAAGUAAUCUUUUGCAACCCAAAUUUAGGCUUCUGGUGUCGUUUGCUGGGAAAUAUCUUGCAUAUGAUUAUUGUGUUGCGUUACCACAUGGUCCUACUGAAGGAUGUUCUGGCCUUGACCAUCAGCUGUGCAAGAUAUUUAUUCCUAAUGUUGAGCCAAAUGUAUUUGGUCCUGCAUUUAUUGAGAUUGAAAACGAGAGUGGCUUAUCAAACUUCAUUCCUGUGCUUAUUGGGAAUGAAGAAAUUUGUUCUGAAAUGGAAAUAAUUCAGCAUAGGUUAGAUUCAUCUCAACUGUCGAGUGGUUCACAGUGUGAGGUUUCUGCACGUAGACAGAUGGCUUUUUCAGAAUUAGUUGUGGAUAU
This 543-nucleotide unclassified non-coding RNA is filed under the name Hevea brasiliensis (rubber tree). Lineage: Eukaryota; Viridiplantae; Streptophyta; Magnoliopsida; Malpighiales; Euphorbiaceae. The record is from RNAcentral.